UUUAAUAUGAAGUGGUGCCCAUCUCAUGGUAUUUUUUUCUUCUAAAAGAAGGAUAUAUUCAUCGUUUACCGUCUCUCUCUUAAUUUAUCAAUAAAGCUAUUGAAGAUGUACACAAAUGUGCAAAAUUAGGGGUAAGAGUAACAAUUUUGUUUUUCUCCAUAUCAUUUUAUAUAGAAACUAUGUGAUUUGAAGAGUAGGAAGCAGGACACAUAGUCUGUUCUUCUGGAAAUUAUAUUACUGAAUUUGAAGAAAUAGAGAUAUAUAGAUCUGAACAAAUUGUUUCCAAAACUAAGCCUCAAUAGCAUUGAAUCUCAGUAUCUCAUCAUGGAAGGAUCAACUGCAGGUGUGGUGAUAGGUGCAAGGACUACAAUUGAAGAUAACCUUCUCAAAUGCAUGUCCAGCAUUAUGGAGAAGGAAAAUGGCACCCAGUUUCUCAAAGAGCAGGUUUUAUUUUUAUUUUUAUUUAUAAAUGUAAAUCUUCUUUUGAUUGGUUUCAAUUCUGAGUAAAGUAAAUCUAGAUCCAUCUUUUCAAGAACAACUAUUUAUUACUUCAAUUUAAUGUUGAUCUCUACUAGAUAUGAAUUUACUUACAUUUUCCAAAUUAAACACACACAUAAUCUAACUAGGAUAUACUUGAUCGAUUGUGAAUGUUAAUUCCUUGAUAUGAUAUUCUUCCCUUUGGCAAGGUUGAACAGGUGCCGCAAGAGUUGCAGAUUGAUUUGAUGAUCAGAUUGCACAAGCAUUUGGGGAACAGGUGCGCAAAACUAGUACAUACAAACAGAGUGUUAAUAACUCUCUCUCUGUCUGAAAAAGAAAAAGUGACACAGGUGACAGAUUUAAUGUGAAUUAAGUUUAAAAUUUGAGAGAGAAAAUGUAAAAAUUGGAAUGCGGGAGUUGUUAUUGGAAAAACCAUAAUAAAAGAAAAAGAUCCUAAGAAAUUAAAUUGGGGGUUUUGUGACAUUCAAGUAACAUCAGCAUUUUGGCGGUUUUUUACCAUCACAAUUUGUGAAGUUUUUUUAAAAAAUGACUGCGACGGUUUUAAACCGUCACAAAUUGUGCAUUUGAAAAAUACAUGUGCAACUUGUGGCGGUUUGAAACCGUCAAAAUUAUAUCAUUUUAACUUCGUAAAUUGUGACGGUCAAAAAACGCUAGAAUAUUAAUUUUAAAAUAUGUGAUAGUAUAAAACCGCCACAAUAUAUAGUUGUUGCUUGGAUAUAUCACAAUGCCUAUUCUGCGCGACCCAUAUUAAAAUAUGAUAUGGCCUUACUUGAUUUGAUAAAAUAUUUUUUAUUAAUAAUUAAAAAAAUGUCAUUUUUAUUUUAAAUUCUAUUUGUAUUUUUUUAUAAAGAAAAAUGUUAAUUUUGUUAUCUUUUCUUUAUAUAUAAUUUGAAAACCAAAAAUGAAAAAAAUACACAACCAUGCAUUUUUAUAAUUAUUAAUAAAAAAUGUUUUAAGAUCCAUUAAGUAUUCAAUGGGCUAGUGUUUCCUUCAAUUGAUACAUUUUGAUUUUUCUUAAGCAUUGUCUCGAGUUUAAGUUUGUGUUAGUAUAUUAAAAAAAAUCCCACUGAAUGAGCUAUUCCCACUAAGGUGUGAAUGUUUCGAGCUGAAACAUCAUGAUAAAGUGUUUACCAAUAUAGUGACAUGCCAUAAAAAAUCCAUCAAUAACAUUCUAUUAUUGAUGUCUUUUAGCCGUUGCUGACGACUUUUGGUCGUUGGUAACAAUGAGUUUUACUGUAGUUAGAGACAGAUCUUCAUGGUGAGUAGGGGAGUCGUGCCUUUUCCCACAAUUUUUUAAAUAUAGAGGUUGUCUAAAUCACAUAUUAGGAUGAUUUAACUCUACCAUAAAACAUACUUAAGCAAUAUUGUUCAAAUAGCUGAAAGUUUUUUUGGGAACUAGUAUGAAAUUUAAAACAAAGCAAAUAUUAAAAGGAUGUUAACCAAAUAUGAGAAAACUAUUGGGAUUAUGUUUCGCCAAUCAAUUCUUUCGUAUUCGAUGAUUCAAUACACAAAUUUUGUCCUACGCUUGAUUUCAUCAACAUUAGUUCUUAUCUUACUUCAAUAGUUUUCUAAUGAGAAGAUCGACAACUCACUAUCCUAAUAAUUAAUUCCUCGUGUGACUAACAAAUCCUAUGCUAUUCCUAAAACUUGGAUUCAUUGGAUGAUAUAACCUAUGUCGGAUUAAAAAAAUUAGCUUCCACUAACAUAAUAAAUUCAAAAUCAUGUUUUAGGCGAUCAAUCUAAAACAUGCAUAAAGAACAAGAUUAUAUCGUUGAAAUCAUUGCAUAUAAACAUAUAUUUGUAUAUAUAAAUAUAUCAAAUUUGAAGGAUUACUUCCAGUAUCAACGAAGAGAAAUUUAGCAAUCUAUUUCCAUGGAUGCUUACAAGCUCACAAUAAGAAAAUAAGAUGAAGAAGAUAGUCAGUGAUGUCUUCAGAACGUUUACACUUUACAACCCUUUGAAUGAUCCCGAGAUCCAAGUCUUCAAGCUUCUCCUGUAUUUUCUCUAUUUUUGGACCUGAUUACUUUCCAAAGAUGUGAUUUUUGUUUUAGAAUUAUGUUUUGAGGAAACAGGGGAGCAUGUUCUUGCUUAGUGAGACAAUUCUCGCUAAGAGAGAACCUUCCUUCAAGGCAGGGUAACUAUCUCGCUUAGCGAGGGAAAUCUCUCUCAAUAAGGAGAUUUCCUUCAUCAAUUUGUAGAAUUCAUUUUUAUCCAAGCUCUAAGGGAUGAAGGAGAAUACUCUCAUACUUUCAUACAAAGUCUUCCUGACAUCCCGAAUUCGGAGUCCGUUUAUCUCCGUAUGAGCUUUCAAAGAUAUACCGACCGUAGGUAUCUUACUUACCAUCAGAUACCGACAAUCGUCUUCUAACAUUACCGACCCUUAAAUAUCAGUUCACCCGAACAUGAAUAGGCAACGCAUCCGUUUUUCUUGCUCCCCAGCAACAGCCGGUCGGGGCGGGGAUAAGCUUGUGAAGAAGCAAAUCCCCCCCCCCCCCCAAAUCUUUUCCCGGUAAUGAUUUUGAAUUAGAUGGUGAGGAUGUAACUAAUAAACUACGGAAAUGAUUCUUAUCCGUGUUUACCAGGCUUUUACCAUGUCUCCCGAACAAUUUCAGUACAUAUGGCGCAAGAUGCGGGGAACCCUUCCUUGCAUUCUAUUAUAGUAUUCGCUUAAUAUCAUCUAAAUGAAAAUAUAGUAUAAAGAAGAAUAUAUUAAUAAACUCUAUUUGCUAAAUGAACGUCUCUUUUGGCACUCCUACAAUAUUCGUCUCCCUUUUUUAAUUGUUCAACUUCAACUUUUAUGGGAAAGAGAGACGGAGGAUGACGAUUCUUUCACCCUUCCUUCUUCAUAGCUUGUUACUUGUGAAUAUCUUAAUCAUCCCAAUGAACUUUCUUCCUUUUCUUUUGGAGAGGAGCCUUUGUCCCUUCCUCCCAAUCUUAGUUCAUUUUCUAGUUACAUUUGAGAAAUUUUGGAAAGGUUUGAAUGAUAAUACUAUGGGCAAAGGAUCUUCUAAUGAGGUUUCUGAUUUGAGUUUUACAAAUUCGUUUGCAACGAGUCAUCAAAAGUAUGUGCCACUCCUAAUCCUUGUAAGCUUGGGUGUUACCUAUAACUGGGUAGACAAUAAGGUUUUAGGAACUCGCCACAUGUUGGAAUCAUAUUCUAAAGUGGAGUUAAAAGAUUUGGAAAUAACUCAAUAAGGAAAUGCAUCCGAAACGUACCCCUUUAUCCUCCCAAACAAAGGUGCUCGUGUUUGCGCCGAGCAACCUAGUGGGGUUUUCAUGUAUACCUUCCUCUUUUAUGAACUUGGGUUGAAGGUUUCUUUUAGCGAUUUUGAAAUCAACAUCUUAGUCGCACUUUGUAUUCCCCUUCAAAGUUGUACCUAAAUUCUUCGACUCUUGUAAGAGAUUUCUAAGUUUUAUGUAGAUUGUUAAAUAUCCACCCAUAUAUUUGUUGUUUUUCCCCAUUUUAACUCAACCAUUGCAAUGACAAGAAUAAGAAGAAAGAAUAAGAAGAAGGUGGUCGUGGUUUUGAUCCCCACAAAAGCCGCCAAAAUGGUCUUCCUGAAUUUGAGUAGGCUCUUAAUCUUUGGUGGUGGUAGACGGUUUUUGAUGAAUCUUUAAACAUGAUGGAACAAAGUAAGAGGGCGCAAGCACAUGAAAAAGGACUUCGAUGGUAAAGCCAUUAUAUGAGUAAAGAGAGAAAAACUCAAAGUCAUAGAAGAACUAUGAGUUAGGACAAUGAGUAAUGCUUAUGUAAUGAAGCAAUCAAACCAGUAUUUAUAAAGCAUAGCGUGACCUCCUAACAUUGAAGUAUUAAAAAAACUCAAAUUUGUAAAAAAUCUCAAAUACCUGUGAUCAUGGUAAUUGAGGCGCUUUUAAGUGGGAACCAUUUAGUGUUUAAUGAUUGUCCCGAACUUAUUCCACUCGACUGACUGUUGGAUGAGAAAAAUCUCACUUUGGUUAUAUCAUGGCCGACCAACAUGACCUAUACUUGACUGUGAAUCAUCUGGGACGUCCAUGACGAUAUUAGACCUAAUUUGGGCUCACCAGUUACUAGAACACUAUUAUAUAUUUGUACAUUAACAUAUACCCUUUUCAUGAAUUUCUUCUUUUUCUAAAAGAAGAGGAUAUUCAUUUUUGUACUUCUAUGUCUUAGAUUUUUCAUUAAAGCUAUAGAUGUAUGGAUGUGCAAAAUUAGGUAUAAGAGUAACAAUUUUGUUUUUUCCCAUAUCAUUUUAAGAAACUCUGCGCUUUUAAGGGUAGGGAAGCAGGACACGUAGUAUGCGGGCCCUGUCUGUCCUUCUUAAAAUUGGCAUGACUGAUCUGCAUGUCUAUAUAUACUUGUAAUAGUACUUAAUUAGAACAAGUAGAGAUAUAUAGAUCUGAACAAAUUUUAUCCAAAACUAAGCCUCAAUAGCAUUGGAUCUCAGGGAAGGAUCACCUGCAGGUGUAAGGAAAGGCUCAUGGACUAAAGUUGAAGAUGACCUUCUCAAAGCAUGUGUCCAACAUUAUGGGGAGGGGAAAUGGCACCUUGUUCCUCAAAGAGCAGGUUCUGUUUUUUUUUUCUCUUUUUUUUUUCUUUUGGUUUAAAAAAGUCAUUCUUUUGAUUGGUAUAGUCUAACAGCUGGGACAUAUUCUCAACUGUGGAUAUUAAUUGUAAUGACAUGUAUAUAUAUCUUCUCUUCUUCCUUUUGACAGGGUUGAACAGGUGCCGCAAGAGUUGCAGAUUGAGAUGGUUGAACUAUCUAAGACCAAAUAUCAAACGGGGAGAUUUUAGUGAAGAUGAGGUUGAUUUGAUGAUCAGAUUGCAUAAGCUUCUAGGAAACAGGUGUGCAAAAGUAUAUAUAAACCGGGUUUUAAUUUUCUCUCUCUCUCUGACUGAAAGAGAAAAAUUGAAACAAGUGACAGAUAAAGUGAAAUUAAUAUGAAUCAAGUGAGAGAGAAAAUGGAAAAAUUAGGGUGCGGGAGUUGUUAGUCCCACACACACUGUAGGAAUACCUCUCAGUAAAGGACAGUUGGCAUAACAAUAAUAAAAGGAGAAUAAAUAUUGCAUAUUAAUUAGGAUUUUCUGACCACUAAGCUACUGGAUUGUGGCGGUUUUUGACUGCUACAAUUUACAAAGUAAUUAUGGUGGUUAAAAAUUUCACAAAUUACACGUAUGAAAAAUAUAAGAGUAAAUUUGUGGGGGUUUCAAACCGCCAAAAUUAUGUUUUUUUUAAUAAAUUUUGGCAGUCAAAAACUCUCACAUUCUAGAUUUUAUAAUUUUGUAAAUUAUGGCAAUCAAUGAUCACCACAAUCUCUAGUUGUUUCUUAGAUGACGUGGAACAAAAUGACUAUUCCGCAUGACCCAUAAUAAAAUAUGAUAUGACCCUCAUUUUUUUCGGGUACAUUGAAAAAAUAAAUUACAUUAUUUAGGGAUUGAUUCUUGAACCUUCCCCUUCCCAACCGAUAUGUCACCUAACUCUUACCACUUGAACUAUCCUUCGGGGACAUUGAUCCUCAUUUAUUUGAUAAAAUAAAUUUUAUUUUGUAUUUUAUUAAUAAUUGCAACAAUCUCAUUUUUUUAUUUUAAAGUCUGUUUUUAAAAAUUUCCUAAAAAUAUUAAUUUUUUUCAUUAUUUCUUCAUAUAUAUGUAUAUAUUCAAUAACAAAAUGAUUUCUAUAAAUCUGAAGAAAAAGGAGAACAACCCUCUCAUCUAUGAUAGAUUCAUUACUGGUAGUACUCUUGCUUAGCAAGGUUGUCAGCAAAACAAUUCAAUUAUCUAUAGAUAUGAGAUACUUCUAAAGAGUUUACCUCCAUCUACAACACAACGUAUUUGAUUCAACACAUUUAUCAGCUUUCAAGGCCAAAAGUUUCUUUGAUUAAUUACGUACCCAACUCACUACUAAAGUGGAGUCACUUUUCAAUAACCAAACCAUUGAUUAUAUAUGAUAUAUAUAUAUAUAUACAUAUAUAUAUAUUAAACAGAAAAUAAAAUAAAAAGUACAUAGAUAUUCAAUUUUAUAGUAAUUAUUAAAAAAUGUUUAAAGAUCCAUAAAUUAAAGUACUCAAUUGGUUUUCGGUUCAACCGACACAUGCUUAAUUUCUCAUAGUUUCAAAAACUUAUUGAAAGACCUCACCCUAGCUUUCAUGGAGGCAGAGGCGAAACUUAGUUAGGAGUAGGGGGCCAAUGCUCAACCAAUCUUUUUAGAAAUAAUGAAAUAUUGUAUGAAUAUUAUAUUUAUAUUUAUGUGUUUGAUUUUUAAAACUUGUAAAUAUUUAUUUAAGACUAUCUGUAUAAUUUGAAUAUAAUUAUAUAUUAGUCAACUUCCCCACUACUAAUCAUUAGUUCGUUUACCAAUUACCACAUAGUUUUGGUUUAGAUAAUACGUGAACAACUAGAAACAAAUAAUUUAGUUUUAAUUUUAACAUUAUUAUCUACUUACAAUAUUAGUUGAAAAUAAUAUUCACUAAACCAAAACUGUUUGUGUGUAUAUAGAUGGUCCCUGAUUGCAGGAAGACUUCCUGGAAGAACUUCAAACGAUGUGAAGAAUUACUGGAACACCUACAUGCGCAGCAGAGCACAGUGCUCUUACAGCAAGAAAGACAAGAACUUGAAGCCCCACCAAGUGAUAAAGCCUGUGCCUCGAACAUUCUCAAAACCAAAACCAAAACCAUCCUCAGAUCAUCAUAGCAAUUCAGAAGUUAAUGUUAGUAGCCAAUUAGUAGCAGCUUGUGCAGCUUCAUCUUCAGGGUCGACAAAUUGGUGGGAAACUUUGUUAGAUGAUAUGGGAGAUGACAAUACAAUUGCGUUGGAUGAAGAGCUCGUUGCUUCAAUAACAACAAAUGCUUGUGACUUUCUUACAGAAAGUGAUCAAACUUGGAGUGACUUUCUUCUUAACGUGAAAUUGUAGAACACUUAUGAAAAUAGAGAUAUAAUACUUCUUCUAUUUCAAAAUAACUAUUCAGAAAAAAAUGCAUAUUAAAAAAUGCAAUUAAUAUUGAUAACUUUAUAAAAUAUAUUAUAUAAUUUGUUUUGUUAUUUUACCAUUUAAAGUGUGUUUUUAUCUCUUAUUAUUUAUUCUUUUCACAUAGAAGCAUUAUAUGAAAAACAUCGACUAAUGAAACAUUUUUUUCACAUAUAAAUGAACAGUUAUUAUGGAAUAAAGAGAGUAUUUAGAAAAAUAAGAUGUACGAGAGAUUAAUAAACCUAGAAUGCAGAUGUAUUUAAAAUCUUUGUUAGGUGUACAAAGUUAGGAGGAGCCAACUUUAAGUGUAUUAGGAUUAUUAAACUCUGACCGAUUAAUUACUACCUUAGUCGAGGUGUUGGAUUAAUGGGACAGUGCACUACACGAUUUUUUUCCCUUUUGAUAACACAGGUUUAAGCAACAUACAAAAAGUGUUGACUAAAAAUGCAUCACGAUCACUUCGUGACUGCUACCAUUGAGGGGCUCAUUUUAGACACCAAGUUUUUUUACAAUACUAAGUAAGUGUUCUGAAUCAAAUAUUAGGGAGCAAUUAUUACGCAAAAAUUGUUGCUUUUUUCACACAAAAAGUUACAUUUUCUCAGUGUGUUACCAAAGAGUACGAGAAACUGUUUCCAAAAGUAAUAUAUAAUGCUGGAACAUGAGACCAUAAAAAAUUGUUGCGUAAACUUUAAGAAACAUUUUUGUGCUAUGGAUAUACUUUUGAACGGUUGUGAAAAGAAAAAAAUGUUGUAGUGAUAGUUCUAACCGGUGAGUGAUUGGUUGGACCAUAUUUAUAAAUAUAAUAUUAAAAUAGUUUUUUUUGUUUAGGCAUAUAAACAUUUGCAUUAAAGUGCCCAAAAUCAUUCCUGGGAAUGAUGGGUAGCAGGUUUGAUUCAUGCUUGGAGCAUUUUUUGGAUUUUUUUGUGUUUGACCAUCUGGAGUGCGCCUUGAUCGAGAUGGUUUGAGACCGAGUCAACCGAGUUUGACCGGGUGAAGUUGGGUUUGACCAAUUUCACAACAUAUCGCUCCAAUAAGCUAACCAGAGUGGCCAUGGGCUCGAUUUUCGGUUCAACCGAAUGGACCGGCCUGAUUUUCACAACAGUGUGUAUAACUCUAUAUGAGUGUUCAAUUUUUAUUUAAAGGAGAAAAAGGAUUCAAUUUUUAUUUUGAGCGUCGUCGUAGUAUUGAUCCACCAAGAGUUGUCUCUCUAGACAUAACACUUGUGAUUUAGACAACAGAAAAACCGAAGAGGCAAGGAGCCUCGAUCAUGGAACAAACGACAACAAAACCCUAACCUCGCUGAAUUAGAAUUUUGCACUUUUUACCAUUGCAAAAAAAAGAAAAAAGCUUAGGUGGCUUUUUUCUUGGAUAUGUAAAUUGAAAGUUGCAAAAGAAGGUGACAGAGUGACAAGGUUUAGUUUUGCUUGCACGUCCUUGUUCUAUGUGUGAAAGUCUAUGUUAGAAGUCUCACAUUGGCAAGAGAUAGAGCAUAUAUAACCUUUAUAAAUGGAGUGCAAACCUAAACUCUUGAGCUAACUUUUGUGGUUGAGUAUAGGCCUUCCAAUUUCUAAUAGUCUAGGUGAACAAAUGGUCCUGGACAGGGUCUCUGCGCGCUUGUGCCUCGGCUUGGGUUGCAAUUUGCAUAUGAACUGGUCUUAGGUAAUUCUGGAAAGGUUCCAUGUACUGUCUAGGUGGUGGUAGAAUCAUGACCAAAUUUAGUGAUAUUUGAAUGUCUGAGGACCAAAAAUGAAUUAUCCCUAAAUUGUCAUUCAAAAUGUUGGAAAUAUUAGGGAAGAAAAGUUGUGUCGUGGACGAACCACUGCCUUGAAAGCAAAAAUUCUGGCAGACCUCCGGUGCAAUCCAGUGCCAGGUUUGCUCCCCAAGAUUAACACAACUACACGCAAGGUAAUGUGCACUCAGAACCUAAACGUGCUGGAAUCUCUACAACAAUGCUCAGAAAAAACAACAAGAACAAGAAGUGAACCCUCUUAUUUCUUCUUCUCUACCUCACUUCUCUUUCUGUGUCUAUUAUAUAAUGGUCGAAUGUAUUAUUGAAAGAUAAAUGACAUAUAAAGUGAAUCACACCAUUACAAGAUAAAUCCGUUUCUCUCCUUCAUCACUUUAUGGUUCACGUGCAAAGGCAUUCAAGUGUGGUGUUAAUGGACUUUAUCACCAAGUUUUAUUGUACUUUGAUUGCAACUAGGAUAUUAACCCGUGUCCGUGCGAUGCACGGACGCGCAAUUUUACAAUUUAUCAUAUUUAAUUAAUCAUAUGUAAUUAACUUACACACAAACAUUUUAUGGUUAAAAUCACCGCUAACCUCAAAAUGUAGACGGUGCUAUAAACUAAACAUAGGUAAAAGACAUACAAAAUGUGUUCCGCAGAGUAAAAACUAACACGAAAUGUGUUCCGCAGAGGAUCUUAUAGCUCAACAUCCUCGGACAAACAAUUAAUUCCUUUAAGACUUUUUUACAAAAAAUAAUCCUUUCAAGCUUUAUUUUCCAAAACUUAUCAAUUAAUCUCCUGAACCAUAAAUACACGUAGACACAUUACAACUUAUCAAAAAAAAAAACGUAGACACAUUACAUUCGUAAUCAAACGUAGACAUUUUAUCCUUCUCAUUGCUAGUUGUUUCAGAUGAUUUAAAUGAUAAUUAAUCCAAACAACAACUACACCAAAAACUAAAUAUACUAACAUGAAUAGCUUUUUUACAUCUGACAUUAUAUUGUAAUCUGCAACAAUGUCUUUAAAAAAACAAACAACAACAACAACAUAAUAAUUAACCUCCAAAUUUAACUAUAGAUUCUUUGAAAAACCUCCUUAUACACAAUAUUUUUCGUCACAUCUCUUUUUGUAAUAUCCUCAUUGCAUACAAUAAUCUUGAGACCUGCUCUUGUCUUUACACGAGAAACAGCAACGUACAAUUGCCCAUGUGAAAAAACAGGACUUGGCAAAUAAACACCAACAUGUGACAAUGUCUGACCUUGGCUUUUGUUAAUAGUCAUAGCGAACGACAAAAGAAGAGGAAAUUGUCUUCUUUGGAACCUAAUUGGUAUGUUCUGGUCAGUGGGUAUCAAAUUCAUUCUACCAAUAAAGGUUUGCUUUCCAGCAUGAGUGCCAGAAAUAAUAGUCCCUCCAACAACAUUUGGUCGAAGAUGUGUAACAAUCAAUCUAGUGCCAUUGCACAAACCAGCAGAUAUAUCUAGAUUUCGCAUUAGCAUAACAGGAGAACCUUCUUUGAGAACCAACUUAUGGUCGGGAAUACCUGAGCAUUUGAUAUCAUUAAGAAUUUCAGUUGUAAGCCAAUCCGCUUCAAUGGUAACCUCUUCAUCAACACCCCAUAUUGAAUCAGAGCUUAAAUAAGUCCUCUCCUUGGCAUUGAAUAAAGACAACGUGUAUCGAUUAACAAUAUCAACAGCAUCCAAAGUUGGAGCAAGUAUAGCCUUGUCUUGAAAAUACUGCACACAACCAACAUUCUGUUGGAUAUUUGGAUACAUUGAGGAUACAAUGUCACUCACAGGAUUAGAAGACUGGAGAAUCAAUGUUUCAUUUGGCACUCUAAUCACAGAUUCACCAUCAUUAUACUCUCCCAAGUUACCAUCUCCAACAUCUAGCACCCACUUGGCAAAUUCUCUAGUAUCAUCAACAUUUGAAGCAUUUGGAUUAGAAAGCAAACGCAUGUUUUGUGAUAGUGUCACCACCUAAAACAACAACUUUGCCACCAAAUGGUUUAUCACAACUACCAGGAGUAAUGAAUCUCAUGAUAUAUCUCAAUGUCCUAUCUAAUGCCUCAAAAGCAUAUCUACUAACCAUUGGUGCUUCAUCCCAAAUAAUAAGACUGGUUGACUGAAGUAAUUCAGCUUUUGGACUACCUUGAACGAUUCCACAUACUGAAUCCUCAUUAACAUUUAGAGGAAUGCAAAAAAGAGAAUGUGCAGUCCGACCACCUGGAAGUAAGAGAGAAGCUAUGCCACUUGAAGCAACAUUGAGUAUGAUUUUUUUUUCUGAUCUUAACCUAAAAGUUAAAGUUUUCCACAAGAAUGUUUUCCCCGUACCACCAUGUCCAUUGACAAAGAAAAACCCACCAUCACCCUUAUAUACUGCAGAAAUUAAUUCCUCAUACACUUCAACUUGACAACUAUUUAACUUGUGAAAGUAAUCAGCAUGCAAUCGAUUCAUCUCGGCAAUGUCAAAGUUCAACUCAUUGAAUAGUAGAACAUUACCAUAUUGGUUUAGAGUACUUUGCUCAACCUGGGGCAUAUUGGAAAAAUCUUUAAGUGAUUUCCCAUUCAUCAUCAACACUUUCUCUAUCUCCAUUAAGCAUAAAUCUUUCAAUUGUUCAUCCGAAAUUACCAACUCUACACAAUAAUUAAAAUAAUAAUUCAACAAUAGCAAUUAUAUGAUAACGAAUAAAAUCUUACUAAUGUUAACACUAUAAACACAUACCUCUAUUGUUAUGCUUUCUUUGCAAAUCAUAAGCAAUUCCAUCAGCCAAAACAUGCCAAGUCUCAUUCCAUACAUGCAAUGGAUUACACAUGGAAUUUGGCAAAAGGAAUGAAACAAACAAGGCUCUCGUGUAAGCCCCACCAGCCAAUGUAGCCACAUCAAGUAUACCAUCAAUAAAUUCCCGAUCAUCUUUCAACAAUCCCAAAGCCUCACAUGCACCUCUAAAAGUAUCAUGUACAUUAUUGUUCACUGAUCUCAAAUCUUCAUACUUCGUACAUCCCCUUUGUACAUUCAACAACAUUCUCAAGUAGUACAACUCACCUGUGCCAGGCGGGACGAAACUCAUUCGACCAAUAGAUACACCUUGUUUCCUUGGAUGCCAUGACUUGCUCUUUGGAUCAUAAACAAAUAAUUCUGGAAACUCAACAUAUGUCAACUGUCUACCAUGUACAUACUUACAAUUUGCAUCCAUCCACGCUAAGAACAUGCUAUUCUUAACUAUAUUCCUCCUAAGUACAUCCUCAAUUGCUUCAUUUUCCUUAAACAACACAACUUGCUUCCUAGGCAAAUGAUAUGUGAGCUUCUGAACAGGCGGCCAUUUAUGAUGGAUAUCAUAUUGAAAGAUUCUCCACACCGCUUCACACGACGACAAAUACCUGCAAUCAAAGUAUUGCUUGAUCUCAUCAUCUUCCACUGCUUUAUCUUGUGUAGUUCUACCAGAUGACAUAGACAAUGUGACCCUAUCCACUCCCUUGUUUAUAUAUUUGAAGAGGUAUUUUAUAGAGUUUGAUUUGUUGCAAUACUCAAUAUUGAUGUGUGCUUGGUAUUUCAUCAAAAGUUUGGGGUUAUACGGAACAACAAACCCAUUGUCUAAAUCAACCCCCUCCUAUUGGUAGAAACACCAGUAUUCCUCCUUCUAUACACCGGAUACCCAUCACUAUCAAAUGUUGUGACAUCAGCAUAUUUUUUUGGGAAAAAUUUUGCACAUCGCCCAUUUUUCAUGCAAGGAGAUUCUCUUCUGCUUAAUCCACAAGGCCCAUGAACCAUAUAAUUAGAAACACAUUCAAACAAUGAAGGAUAUAGUUUAGGGUCUGGUAACUCAGCACAUACACUACAAAAAACUUGCCAUUUACCAACGGCAGAAAACUGUCGGUAAAGGGUUUAAAACCGUGGGUAUAACCCAAAAAACCUUUACCGACGGACAUUUCAUUUCGUGGUUUUUAAGUCGCUAUACCCACGGAUAUAUUUCUGUCGGUAUAUCUUGUAGUGACGGUUAUGAAUCCGUAAGAAAAAUAUUUUGAUAUAUACCUACGACUUCUGUUCCGUCGGUAUAGGUAUUAGCACUACAAAAAAAAAAGUUUUUUAGUGGCGGUUUCUGACCGCUGCAAUUGCACAAGUUCUUGGAAACUAACAAUCAAUUGUGGUAAUUAACAACCUCAAAUAAAGUUAACAUAUCAAACAUAAAAAUAUCUUAACAUCAGAUAACAUAACACUUAAUACUACUUUAUAAAAGAAAACAAGAUAACAAAGCUUACAUAUAGAGAGUUCUGAUAUAUUUCAUUUACUACAUUAACCAAGAACUAUUCUAGAAAACUUGUGUAGUGGCAAAAUAAUUGCAAAAAUAGUUACAUAGGAGUUCUUAUGUAUCCCUAUCACUCAACCUAUCAAUUCAUCCCACAUUCAGAACAAGAAGUACAAAGUUUGGAAGUGUAUUAAAAUAAUAGAUGAGACAAACUCGUAAGGUGAAAAGCUCAAGUCCAUAACAGCUAAAUAUCCAGAUCUGCGACUUCAACUGCAAUGCCUUCAUCAAGGACUCAGCAUGCCUCAUUCACCACAAGAAAGAAGAUCAUCUAUAUGAUGUCCUUUUAUGCUAAGCUAGUACAUGCUUUUGUAAUAAUUGCCUGCAUCUGUGACCUACAAUGCAGCAAACACACAAUCAAAAUUCAUUUCUAUAACUGAAAACUAAGUAAAAUAAUGUCUGAAGUUUUCUCUCAGACAUAAAAACUUAACGCACUGCACAUGCAUGUCUCUAAAGGUUUGGUUAUCACAGAGCAAAAGGUUAAAAUGUUAAUCUGAAAAGCUUCAAAUAUAAGUGAAGAACUUAGUUGUGCCUCUUCCUUUCUCAACUUUCACAACAAGCACCUAAGAACAUUAAAAGAUUCCAUGAAACCAAAAAAGAGUGGACCUCUAACCUUGAUGCAAAUAUUGGAUGCACAAAAGAACAUAGUAGCAUAAAUCAACAGUCAUGAAGCAUAAAUAUCCUUGAUGAAAAAAUUAGACCUCAGUGAGGUGUGUGUUCCCUCUCCAUCCCAAGCUAUAGAUUUGGCAAGAGAUUGCAUUACCUGUAAAGGAAAAUUAAAUCAAAACUUCACAAUUAAUGAAAGAAGAUAACAUUGAACAAUAAAUUACAAGCUGUAAGGGAAACGUGAGACAAGAUCUAAAGGAAACAAUUCAUGAUAAAAAGGAAAUUGCAACAUAGAAAUUGCAUUUUUAAACGGAUAUCCAACUAAAAAUCAUGCCCCAGUGCACCUUGUAAUGGAUAAAUCAUCAAAAACCACAUGCAUACUUUUGCAAAGCCAAAACAAAAGCAUAUGAACAAAACAAAAGCAUCGUUGUGUAGUUAUAGUUGAUAUCUACUCUUGCACCCUCCGCAAAUUUUUUGAUGUUUUUCAGCAUGAUCAAUUUUAGCAUUCAAAUCUUGAAUGCCUCUAACUACUGUAUGGUUUUUGUAUUAUAUUUCUCUGUGAUAUUGCCCUGCGUGCCACAAAGCCUCUCAAACCUGCAUCAAUGAUUAUUGGAUAAAUAUCAAAUUCAUGGCAUGACAACUCCAUACAAGCCAUAAAAUGAAUAACAAAAUAAUACCAAUUGGUUUUAUAGUAGCAUCUCAGCCACUACAAAGCAUCACAUCCUGCACAAAAUUUCCACAUUUAUUAAAUUUGUUAGUACCUUUGGAUAAAGUGAAAAUCUCAUUAAAACACACUUUCAGGCCAAAAAAUAAAAAGAAGAAAAAGCUAGGAGAAGAAAUCCAGGAUCCUAAGCGUAAGUAUCAAAGUCAAAUACUUAUAGCUUCACCUCUAUGAUAUGGUUUGCUGCAUUCAACAUACAAAAAGUUACUAGUAGCACAAGCUGUAGAGAUAGAAUAAUUAGGGCUCAUCCAUGCCUGCAAUCCAUAAAGAAUCAUUAAUCAAAUAUCAAUAGGAAAAAUAAAGAAGCUUAUGAGUAAAACCAAAUACCUAAUUAUGGUGUCUAUAGUAUGCUCUAAAAUCUAUUCAAACAAACCAGAUCCAUUGUAAGAAUGGAAAAACCCAUAUUUGUUGUUGCAAAAGGGUUAUUAAAAACCUGUUCAGCAGCAUCAUUAAAAACCUGUUCAGCAGCAUCAUUAUAUUUGGGUGAGACUUGGGUAGUGGUUAACAUGAACUGCUACCCCAUUGCCGCUGCCCAUCUCACUUUUUUCUCAAUUUGCAAAACUGCAACCACAUAAACAAAAAGGAAAAAAAAUUAAGAAAAAAAGAAGGAGCAGGAGUGUGGAGAAGCCCAUAAGGAAUGCCAGUUAGGUUUUAAACAGCAGAUGCAGAACAAUUAAAUCAAGUGAUUAAACAGUAGUAUUUUUCGAAUUGGGGGUUAGGGUUUGCACAAUCGUAACUUCCCUUUGUUGCUUCGCGACGUCCAUGCUCUGAUUCUUGUGCUCUUUUCGUUUCCACAUCCGCAAUUAGGGUUAUCCACCGUGAAUUGGAGACCAUGGCAGCUUCUCCCAAGUCGCCUUCGUCGAGGAACCUUUUCCAUCUGCCCCGGUAAUUAUCUUUUCCUCUUCGUCGAGGAAGAUUUCAGUUUCUUUUGAGAACCUUUGCAUUUUUCAGACUAUGGAGAAGCUGAUAACUGGCUCACGAAGACACGACAGGUAGUGAGAUUAACAGGAUCCCGUGAGUAGCCUCCGUGACUGGUGGUGGCGAUGCGGCGUAGAGGUUAAGUGGAUGGGAGGGUGCGCCACAAGGAUCCCGUGAUUCAGCGAGCAAAUGAGAGUGUGAAGAAGUUGAAAUUUGGGAAGAGGGCAGAUGAGAGCAUGAAGAUGAGCGCAGGGUGAAGAGAACGAGAGUUUGUGGGUUUUCAAGUCUUAACUCUAGUGAGUAGUGAGGUUUCAUGUCCGCUGAACUUAAACUUAUAGUGACAAAUGAAUUUAUUCGUCACUAUAUCAUGUUUUAACCCACGGGAAAGCUUUUGUCACCAAAAGAAUUAGCAACUUAAACGAGUAAUCGAGGGUAUAUGAUACCUAUACCCACGGUUUACAAUAUGUCUGUAGGUAUAUGAAGCUUAUACCCACAGUUUUAUAUUUUGUCGUUAAAACCUAUAGUGACAAAUUAAGAUUUUUGUUAGUAUAUACUGCAUAUACUGAUGGUUUAAGUUUCGUGACUAAAGGAUAUAGCUACGGUAAUAGUCAUCUGUAAGUAUAUCACACUUAUAGCCACAGUUAGUAAUUUUUCUGUUGGUAUAUAAUGGCUAUACCCACGCUUUUCAUACCUGUCACUAAAAAUAUCCGUUGGUAUAUGGCAAAUUUCUUGUAGUGAUAUAACCGAGUCUAUCAUAGCAAUGGAAUUUAGUUUAUACUCAGCACUCAACCAUAAGAGAAUAUGCGCAUGCGGUAAACCUCUCUUCUGAAAUUCAAUGGUGUACAUACCUACAUAUAAAUAAAGUAAUUAGAUCAUAUUAAGCAAAAACCAUUUGGUUACUGUGUUACAACUACAGCAAAUUGUAUUGCCAAAACUUUUAGCCAAAAAUACUUACCAGCCAUGGCCUUCCCAAAGAAUUCACCUUUCUUCAAAUCUGUCAUGAGUUGAUCUAGUUUCAUACGAAAGACUCGGCAUACAAUAUCUGGCCGAUCAUAUGCAGACAACAAAUAACCUACAACAUGCCGCUCAAUCUCAGGCCAUUUCGGAUUGCACGUCAUUGUAAGAAACAGGUCCGGAUAACCAUAAGUCCCACAAAUAGCCAUAGCAUCCUGACAAUUUUCAAACAUGUACCGUCUUCUGCCAGUAAAAGAUGAUGGGAGUAUAAUUCUAGAACCAAUUGUUGAAGAAUUAGUAUCACCACGGGUAAUAGCAUCCUCAAGCCCUGCAAGAAAAUCCUUGCGAAUGGAGUCCUGAUUGUACCUAAUAUAAAAUAGUCUAUUUGCUUCAAUCAUAGAGUAGCAAUCAACCACAAAUUGUUGCAACAAUCUUCGAGACAAUAAUAUCCUCUUGCACUCAAAUUGCCUUUCAUGAAGUCUAAACGCUACCCAUUCACAUAGAGACAUAUUCUCCCGCUUGUAAAUAGCAUUGUCAUAUUUAAUGCCACCAAAACCCAUUUUUUCUGAAAAGCCUUCUUCCCCAUAUGGAAACAGCAAUGGAUAUUGUAAGGGGAGAAAACAUGAAUGCGUCUCAUAAAUCCUUUCUAACUUACCACUUAUUGAUCGAAGUAUAAUAUCACGUCCACAAUCAGAACUAUCAAAGUCACCAACAAUUAAUGCUGCAACUUCAUGCCAUAUUCAUAUCACCUAGAUCAAUAUAGGCUGAAAAAAUGUACUCUGCAUUAAUCUUUUAUCAUAAGACAAGAAAAAUUUAAAAAUUACCGAAUGUAGUCGUCCUAACUCUUACAUUGAAACUCAGCCACAUCAAAGAGCAAAUUAUGGUUGUCAAAUUUUGGCUGCACUCCCUGCGUCAUUGGCCGCGAGCCAGACUCUUCAUUACACUCACUCAUUGAACAAAAAAAUUGAAAUUUAAAAAUAUUAGUUUUAUACGCAAAAUGAGUAAGAAAACCUAAAGUUAAACCAUCGAAAACUAAUAUAAAUAAAAAAAAUAUUAAAAAUAUCAUAAAAAAUACAACGUUAACUAACAAAAAUCCUACAAUGCUAUGCAUCCAUAAUCAAUAAAAGUAUAAACAUAAAAGAAUAUAUUAAUCAAUACCAUUGACAGAAAAAAAAACUCAAAUUAUUUACCACCAACUAAUCCAUUAGAAUAUUACUAAAUUAAUCCAUUAAAACUCAAAUUAUUUAUCACCAGAAAAGUUUCCAUAGUACUUCUUCCAUGCGCUUAUAUGUGAAAGCUAAAUAUAAAAUUAAAAACACUAACUCAUUGUGAUCCUCCUCUUUGCUCGUUGCAAAUUGGGCUUUCGUAUUGCACGUCCACGAUUUGACCUCUUCCCCAAAAUUUCUAUAACACAACAAUUUCAAAAAAAAAAUUAAACAUCACAGAAGACGAGUAUAGUUUAUCCAACUACGAAUAUUUACUUCUACCUAUUAAAAUAUUUAACUAAGGAAACUUACGCCAAAAAAAUACUAAUAAACUACAACUUAUUCUAAACCUAACAAAACACUAAAAUAACUAUAACACAUAUAUUAAAAUUAACAUCAUAUUCAAAUUUAAUAAGAUUUCAAUAAAAAAGUAUAAACAAAUUUGUGCUUAUGAUUUCACUUACUUGUACCACUAACUACAUGUGGCCCUACUGGGUUAGAAUCUGCUACACUACAAAUGUUUUCUCCUCCUGUCACAUUCGAUCCUGUUCAUAUAAUGCAAGGUUAAUAGCCUAAUAAAAAGUAAUUACGAAUAGUUAAAUACAAAAUACAAAAUUGAAGUAUAAGAUCAUACCACAACUACUGCGCCCUUGAACACAACUUGAGAAUUGACUUUCAUUCGUAAUAUCUACGACAUGGUUAAAUAUAAAUCACUUGAACAUUUAAUUAACAUUAAUUUCAAUAUGCAUAUAUAGCAAAAUAAUAUCUAAGAUGCACAAAUAUGUACACAUCAAAUAAAACACUGAGCAUGUAGAACACGAAAAACAAACUAUAUUACUAACCUCUAAAAGGAUAAGCCAUGGUGUUUAUAGAUACAAAAUGGUAGCUUAUAGAAUCAUUUUCCAACCAAUGUACACUCCUGAAGUACCUGCAACUAAGAAUCAUAGAUAAUAUUUAUUACCAGGAGUAACAAAUAAACUCAUGUCUUACUAACAACUUAGAUUAAAUUUUUUUCCUAAGUUCUCACUUCAUAAAUCGGUAACACCAAACCUGUAGCCACCCAUGAUCCUAGCUUAAAUAUUGAUUAUGAAUAUAAGGAACUAACGCGUCACCUGGGUAAAUGGCAAGGAUAUGUAAUUAGAACAUAUACUUUGAAGGACUCAUGAAGAUUGUAGCAUACAAAGAAGCAAGAAGAUUGUAGAAUGAAAAUGAGCUUGCUUCAAACCUUAUCAUAUAUAUAGAGGGUAUAUAAAUAUAAAUAUUAUUAGAUAAAUUAAUCCAAAACAAAAUUUCGGUUGAUUUUUUUAAUAUGAACACAUCAAUACAGCUAGCUUUAGAUUUGGCCUUUCUGAAUGGGACUUGUGAUGAUUAUAUGAAAUAGUUGACUACCAAACUAAGUCCAAGUGUCUGCACAGCCUGGGUAAACAACCUAAAAUUAUUACUUAAUUCCAUUAUAAUACUUACUAAUGUAUAAAAGUACAAAGUCAGUGCAAUAGUAGUUAGGGUCAUUAAAUGCAUAGCAAUGAAUACAUCUUGAAUGCAUAGCAUGGGAGGUGUGGAAUCAGACCCUCCAAUGGCUAGGUAAGCAUUUUGUUUUCCCUGCUAGCCCAAGGGAUCACUUUCUUCAAUUUGCUUGGGCUAAUUCUCCAAAACAUCGAGUUGGUUUGUCCACUAUAUGGCUGGCUGUUGUGUGGGUGCUUUGGCAUGGCAGGAAUGCGAAAGUCUUUAAUGAGGAGGAUUUAUCGUCUACUUCGCUCUUUGAACAAGCAAGGUUGAAGGCUUGGCUUUGGUUGAAGGCUAAGAACAAGAAUUUUACCCACGCUAUGUCUGAGUGGAUUUUGGAACCAUUGUGUUGCUUGGAUGAUAUAUAGCUUUGGGUGAGUUGGUUCGUGGAUUGAUACUGUACUUGCUAGUGGUGACCUUGGGCGAGCUUUACUUGUUGCUGUUUGUUGGUCACUUUUCUAUCUUCACGUGGUUGAUAGUAUACUGGAACAUUUCUCUAGUUGUGGCACCUGAUGGUUCUUGUUGCUGGCAUAUUAUGUUGGGUUUUUUGGGUCUAUUGUAUUAAGCUCCUUAGUGGGUACUCUUUGAUUCUAGACUUCUGUACUCUUUUUCCUUACUAGGUUUUCCCAAGGGGGUUUUCCCUAGUAAGGUUUUAAUGAGGCAUAUUUCUGGGAUCUUCCCUCUAAGAGCAUCUCCAAUGGAGUCCUUAUUUUGAGACCUUAAAAUAAGAUCCGGAUCUUAUUAGAUAUCACCAUUGGAGCUAUCCUACAUGGCAUGAGAUCUUAGCAAAAGCUAAGAUCCGUGCCUUAGCUCAGGUACUCUCAAAUGUGGGAUCUUAAAUAAAAUAAUAUUUUCUUUUCUCUCCUUUAAUACCAUAACCAAAGUAAAAAAUUAGGGAGGAAAAUAAAUAAUAUAAAUAUAUUGGGUAUUGUGGGUCCAGUCAAAAGUAAAAUAAGAUCUCAACCACUAGAGUGAAAUGUGCAUGAAGACCUUAUGAGUAUCUUAAAUCCUAUGUGGCAAUUUGGGUCCACAAAAACUGAGUUAAGUCCCAAAAUAAGUUCCUACAAUUGGAGAAGCUCUAAGGGGUGGGGGGUUGUUAUUGUUAGCUGAUGAUAGCGUAAGUUUGUAUGUUUUGUCACUUUCCUCUUUUUUCUCUUGUUUUUCUUCUUGUAUUGGGAUUGAAGUACCCCUUGUACUUCGUUUCAAUAUAUAUUCAAUGGCUUAUAAAAAAAAAAUAAUACAAUCAAAAACUCAAAGAUUGAUGUAACGGAUAAAGAAACGAAACAUAAUGACCACACAUAUUGUACUUACAGAAAAUUAAAAUGCAAGUUAUCUUGAUGUUACAAGUAAAGAAAAUUAGUUGCACUUUGCCAUACUUUUUUUAAAAAUCAACCAAAUUCACGGCCUUGGAAAAAUACGGCCAACACAAUUAUUUAACCUUUUUAUAACUAACUAAAUAAAUAAUCUGGAAAAGUUACUCAUACAAAUCCAAAUAUAUUUCCCCUUAUCAUUCUAAUUAUCCACCAAACUAUAACUACAUGAGCUAACUUCAGGUUUUCAUUACUCAAAUAUAACUAAAUUAUAUACAAAGUAAGAGCAUCUCUAAUGGUAGGAUCUUAUUUUAAAAUUUAACUCACUUUUUGUGGGUUCAGACUGCCACAUAGGAUUUAAGACACUCAUAAAGUCUUAAUGCACAUUUCACUCUAGUGGUUGAGAUCUUAUUUUACUUUCGACUGGACUCACGGUACCUAAUAUAUUUAUAUUAUUUAUUUCUCACACUACUUUUAACUUUGGUUCUGGUAUUGAAAGGAGGAAAAAAAAUAUUAUUUUAUUUAAGAUCCGGGUUUUGAGAGUACCUGAGUUAAGGCCCGGAUCUUAACUUUUGCUAAGAUCUCAUGCCAUGUAGCAGAGCUCCAAUGGUGAGAUCUAAUAAGAUCCGUAUCUUAUUUUAAAAUCCCAAAAUAAAGACUCAAUUGGAGAUGUUCUGACCAAACUAAUAUACUGAGCACAAUUAAUACAAUAAAUGUUACUUGUUGUCUUCACCUAUACAAGCUAGAUUUUUUUUAUACCUAUACUUUACGUUCCAAAAAAUGAUUGUAAUAUAACAUUCAUUUUUAACUUCCAAAGCUUGUAACAACACACUCCACAAGUAAAUGAUUAAACACAAACCUAAUUAUUGUCUUUUUAAGGCACAAAAUAAAAAAAAAUAAGUUCUUUAACUUCUAACAUUGCUAAUCAAACUACAAUUCAACGCCAUUAAUAAGAAUCCAAAUUAUAUCUGUUUAUAACAACAUCAUUUUUUGGAAACUUAAAUAGCCUUAACUCACUCUUGGUCUGCUCUAUAGUCUUCUUGUACAUUCCCUUGACUUUAUACCACUUAAGUGCAUUAAUACACGGUUUUCUUCUCUGCAUGUUAUGUUUGAUAUGUAGCAUGGAGCCAAAUAUUUUUAUUUCUUUUCUUCUAUUCCUCUUUUUCUUUGCUCAUUACUAUACAAUCUUGCAGUUUCAAAGAAAACUACGUUUCUCCAAGAAAUACAUUUACUUUGAGAAAGUAAAAAAAAAAGAAGUUAAAUUUAGAAGAAUCACACAGUAAGCCCGUCACAAAAAGAACUUACAUGAUAGUCAAGAUACUUAAACGGAAUAUCUGAACAACACAAUACUCAAAAUGUUACAAAUAAAUAUAGAAGUCUACUUUAAUUAAAAACUGCAAAAAAAUACACGUUGAGAAAUUCAGACUUAAAAGUGUACUCUUAUGUAAAACAAACACAUAUCUAAUUAGAAGCAUGAAAGAAUUGAAUGGUCAGGAAAACCAGCCCAACUCUAUAAAGGAAAGAUAAACGGCCAUAAUUAAAUGCCUUGAGAGUGGGACCACACAUGAAAGAAUUGAAUGGCCAGGAUGGCUAUUUCUCUUAUGAACAGUAUUCUCUCACACUCUCUAUUCAUGUAGAGUAGAUGUAACGGUUGAGAGUGUAAGAAUACAUUCGACCAUUAUAUAAUAGACACAGAAAGAGAAGUGAGGUAGAGAAGAAGAAAUAAGAGGGUUCACUUCUUGUUCUUGUUGUUUUUUCUGAGCAUUGUUGUAGAGAUUCCAGCACGUUUAGGUUUUGAGUGCACAUUACCUUGCGUGUAGUUGUGUUAAUCUUGGGGAGCAAACCUGACACUGGAUUGCACCGGAGGUCUGCCAGAAUUUUUGCUUUCAAGGCAGUGGUUCGUCCACGACACAACUUUUCUUCCCUAAUAUUUCCAACAAUUUGAAAGCAAAAAUAUAUUUUACUCUUGUUGGUACCGAUGGCGUGCUGCUCAACAAAAUUAGGAAGCGGGAAAGCAAAUGGUUUGAAAGAUAAGUAUAUCUUUGUUUCUUUCAUAAACUGAUUCAAAUGCUAAGAAUGAGAAGACCGAGAUGCGUUUAAAUUCUAUUCAUGAUCUUUGUUUUUUGUGUGACUGCUUAUUUUUGUGUGACUGCUUAGACUAGUGGAAAAAAAAAACCAAUAAAUAAAAAAUGAGAAUGGUGUGCAAAGAGAAUCCCUCUUGACAAGAGAGGAUGCCAAGAAUUUUGAACACAUUUUCGGUCAAAAUGUACAAGUAUGAGCAUGACUCAAUUUAUUUCUACACGUACUCUUGUGUUUUAUGCCUCCACCUGUCUCUGAAAAAAAACGACGGAGAUAUAAUUGUGAAAUUGGAUGAUUCAUAAUUCAUAUGCAUCAUAUAUUUAGAGUUUUUUCCUGAAAAAAAAGUCUUAAACACUCAUAAAGGACUGGUAGAAUGAAGGAAACCCGACAAUAUAAUAGAGUUCAACACUAUUGCUUGGAUUUGUGAUGAAUGUCAUUUUGUUUAAUUGUGGUAUACUUGAUAAUAUGUGGGUGAAAGGAAAGCUAUCCUAAAGGCUUGAUGUAUUUUUAAAGUUUCUGAUGAAAUUUGUGAAAACUAUCAAAGGAUUGUAGAAAUGAUUUUUUUUUAUGCUUGAAAAUUAUUGAACUGUGGGGGUAUUUGACUAAAGUAGGAAUACCAGAUUUUAAGAGAGAAUAUUGGUGCUAAGUCAUAUUACUUCGUUGGUUAUGCUCAUGAUAUUAUUGUCUAUAAAUUCUUGAUCUUGAAUGAUAAUAUAAUUAUUUGAUUGAGAUGUCUUGAGUUUUAUGAAUGAUACAUUUCGUGCUUGUGUUUGUGUUUGUGGUUCACUAGAAGCAAUUUGAGAUACUAACAACGAUGCUUGCAAUAGAGAGAAUAAUUACAUGUCAGACUUUUGUUGUUAAGAAAUUGAUUAAAAAUUGUUUGGUUUUCUUUGAGUAUGUCAGAAGUGAAAGAAGUCUCGUUGAUCUUCUUGCUAAAGGAUUGACCAAGAAAAUUGUUUUGGAUACGCUGAGGAGGAUGAACCUUAAGCCUUGACAAAGAGGAAAAUACGGUGGAUACCCAUUUGUUGGUCAAACUAAGCCGUAUGAUUACUCUUAUGCAGUACAUCUUCAUUUUAUGACGUGAGGUAAUGCUAUUUUUAGAGACACAUAGCUAAUUGUGGUAUUUCUUUUGAGAUGCAUCUAAUGUAUCUAUUAAAAGUGCUUUGAGAUGCACUUGUUGUAUUCGAAAUAAAGUGUUUUAGAGACGCACUUGAUAUAUUUAAAAGGAUACAUAACCAUUUGUGGUGGUGCUAUUGAGACGCACUUGAUGCAUCAUGACAAAGUGCUAUUGAGCGACGCACUUAAUAUAUUUUGAGAAAGUGCUAUUGAGACGCACUUGAUGUAUAAAGGCAAAGUGCUUUUAAGACGAACUUGAUGUAUCUGUGAUAUAGUGCUUUUG
This 24162-nucleotide long non-coding RNA is filed under the name Lotus japonicus. RNAcentral's name for it is "long non-coding RNA (LJAP_LNC001155)". The record is from RNAcentral. Lineage: Eukaryota; Viridiplantae; Streptophyta; Magnoliopsida; Fabales; Fabaceae.